Herpailurus yagouaroundi (jaguarundi) is the source of this 5853-nucleotide long non-coding RNA. RefSeq lists it as uncharacterized. The record is from RefSeq and is a predicted model, not a curated record. Lineage: Eukaryota; Metazoa; Chordata; Mammalia; Carnivora; Felidae. The transcript is spliced from 3 exons.
CUUGUGUAGGGUGUCGAAUCCCAACAUGUCAUGUGAGGAUGGCCACGUUAUCCGAAGUCAGAAUCCUUUGGUGUGUCUGAUAAGAUGCACAUCCCUGGCCCUGCUGCCACUGCACUGAUUUAGAGAAAGACCAAGAAGAUGAAGUCACAGAAAGUAGCAGUUUAACGUCUGGCUGUUAAAAGGGACACAAAGCCCUUCUUCUGAAGAGCCCUCCCCCCCCCACCCCCCGCCUCCCUGCCCUGCCAUGACAUCCCUAGCAGUGGCUGUCUGGCUUCCAUAUGAAUGCUUCUGCCCACCAUCUCCUAGGCGGCCCAUCUUACUUCGUAUCAGUUGUAAGUUAUUACAAGAUGUAUCCCUGAAGGAAUCUAGAGUCCUCCUUCAGUCUCCCCCAUACCCAGCAAAGUGGAUUUCCAAAUUUCCUCAUGGGCAUGCCCUAAGCCUGUCUCUGAAGCCUCUGAUAUCACUCCCCAUCAUAUCAGUGUCUGCUUUUCUAUCUACUCUCCCACCUCACACACCGGAAAAAUGAGCUUUUGGCAAAAAUGCGUCUGUGCACAUGAGCACUGAGUACUGUACUGGCACAGAGUAGGCACUCCGUGAAAACCUGUGGCUCAGUAAACUCAUUCUCUCCCAUUUCCUUCCUUGGAUCUUUAUUCUACCUCUGAAACAUACAGAAUUCAUGUGAUCCCACGUCCAUGUGACAGCCCUUCAGAUCCUUGGAGAGAGAGCUCCCAAGUCCGCUACCAGGUCUCCUGGUAUCCAUUCCAGACUCCGCCCGCCAUCUGCUUCAACCAUUGUUGAUAGGAUACCGGGUCCACGUGCCCCAGAACCCUGACUGCCCUCCCUGUUUUCAGAGUAUGUCUCUCCCUGACUCACCCAGAAGUGAACCAGCUCUUGGAGGGUAGCUUGACGUGACACCACUUCUGCCCAUCGCCUUGGUCACUGCACUCUCUUAAAUACAGCCUGAGAUUACAUCCGCCUGCCGCUCGUUGCUGGCCUGUUCAUCUUGCAACCCUUGCUUUCCCGUGCAUCUGGUUGUUUCCACCACUUGCAGCCAGGCUGAGCCAGUGAGCCCUCCCUCACAGACCAGUGUGGGUUACAGCUCUGGGUGAAUCUAUGUCUCAUAAGGAGAGUUUGUUUAAGGCUGGAUGGGUGGCUGCAGGGACCAUAUGUCUGAGAACAGAGCACAGGUCACCGAGAGGUGAAAAGAUCCUGGUCCACUCAGCACAUUUGAAACUCAAGAGAGGAGGACCAAGAGGUAAAGGACUUAAGCAGAAUCCAAAUCACCACCAGGAGCCACAAUCUAUUGGAGCCCGUGGCUCCAACGGGCAGGACGGCAGCAUAAAUUUCAGUGAGGCAAAGCUAAGUGGUAACGGACUUUAACUUCUGUCAUAUAUAGUUAAUUUGCAGAAUAAAUUGGUCAGGGCAGCAAAAGGACUUAACAUCCACAUUCAUUUGAAAAACAGAAGCUAGAUGAGUAUCAAGAGGAAAAUGGAGACCGUUACGACAUUCCCUUGCUGGUUGGAAUAGUAUUAUUAUUAAAUAAUAUUUUUAUUAAAAAUUUCUAGACCGUUUGGUAGUUAAAGAUAUUUAUACACCAGCCUUCGCAGUGUCUCAGCAAGACAUUGAAUCUCCCUCUGCGGAACCACAUAAGCCCCCAGAGGCUCCCACCUGAGUGUAAGUCAUGUCAGCAUCCUGGCCACUCUCUCUGUCCGUCUUUGUCUCUCUCUCUCUCUCUCUGUCACACACACACACACACACACACACACACACACACACACACACACACUGUGCAAGGCAGGCUCUUGUCAUGUGGAGCGAAGGCAAGUACUGGUCACAUGCCAGUUCCACCCAUUUCAGAAUGUCAAGGAGUUUCUCUCCAUUAUGCUUGUCUUGUCCAGAUUUGAAGUCUGAAGGAAAAGAGAGGACAAGCCCCCAGGUGGAGCACAUAAAGGGCAGGAGACUGAAUACAUGGAGGAGGAGGUGGAAGGAGUCACACACAGAAUCUCCCUGAGGGGAUGGCUCUGGCAAAGCGAAGGGGACUCCUGGGCACCCUUGACUGGCAAAUGAUACUGCCUGGGAAGUAGGAGGAAGCAUCGUUAAUUCCACUCCGGAAAGGACCAGAAGCUCAGAGAGGCCCACGCUGGUCCUGGGAGCGGUGUCUCUCUGGUCCAGGCUUCUCCCUCCACUUGUGCCUGGGCUACUCCCGAGAGUGAUCCUGGCUCCUUCUGCCCCCGAGUGGUCUGAGGGUGCACUUGGCUUCCCAGCACAGCUUCCCAGACAGGACACACAAGACUGGGGAAAAGAGCUAACCUGCGGACAAGAGCACGGGAGGCUCUGCUGGGAGCCCGCUGAGCGUUACACUCACUCGGGUGGUCUCUCCACUAAUGGAGGGUCGCAAAGAGCCAUCCCACGGGUGCUCCUCAUUUUCCCCUCUCUCUGAGCCCCGUCCUCCGCCUCCAUCCCCAUGCCGCUCUGUCAGCAGGGAUAAUCCCGUGCAGCUCUGUACAUCCACAAGGCUGGGACUCUGAAUCUCCAUGUCAGGUUUAUUUUGAUGCUGACGAGGAGCUGCACAGAGCUGCGGCGGGGCCUCGGGAUGCUGAGGGAGCCGAAAACUUCUUCUCUCUUCCCAUUGCCUGGGGCCCUGGGAGGAAGUCCAGCAGGUGCACGGCCAGCCCCCAGGCAUCACUGGCCGUCGAUCAGGGGAGAGCUCAGUGGUUGAUGUCACAACGCUACAGGCUAUGGACACUGCAGUGGAAGGACUGCAGCUCUUACAUCCUGAGUGGCGUCUCCCUAAAACUCAUGCCCACCUCAUGUGACCUUACUUGGAAACGGGUUCUCUGCCGAUAUAAUUCACAGAGUGGGUCCCAAAUCCAACGACUGGUGUCCUUAGAAGGAAGAGGGAAACUUGGAAAAUUUGGGCACAGAGAAGGCGACCGCCUAACAGCUGAGACCAGGAUCGGAGCGGUGCAGCUUCAAGCCGAGAGACUCCAAGAAAUGCCAUGAGGUGAGCCACUAGAAGCUGGCAGGGGCGAGGAAGGAUUCUUCCCGAGAGCUUGCAGAGGAAGCGUGACCCUGUGGACACUUUGAUUUGGGACUUUGUGCCUCCAGAACUGGAGGAAUAAAUUGUUUGAAGCCACUCUGUUGGUGCUGAUUUGUUUUGGCAGCCCUAGGAAAUGAAGGGGGAGAGACUGGAUAAGAACAAAAACCUUGGAGAACCGCUCAGAGUCGCAUCAAAGGCAUCUGGUGAGUAACGUGUCGGGCUGUAAGAGGCAAAUGAAAAAAUGGAAUCACGUCAACAUUACAAAAGGGUGUUCGACAGUGUGCACGUAUAUUCAUUACACUUCAGCCAAGGCUGAGCAAGUACCAGCGGAGUACCCAGUGCUGGGCUCUGGGGACAUAUGGGCGAGUAAGGCCCCAUCCUGGAGAAGAGUGGGACAGACAAGACAUGGAACCAAACUCAGUCUGAUGCAGUGGUGGGUGCUCUUCUGGACACGGGCUCCAGGCGCUGCUAUUCCAUUUUUUGGACUCAACCUCUCCUCCUAAGUGGACCAUCACUCUUACUGACCAAAACAGAGGCUGACAGAGGCUUUGCUUCUAAAUCUGCACAGUCACAAUUGAUAAACAAAACGAUCACCUGAGGUGCCUUGAGGAAAGGCUUAAUUCUGUGUGGUAGGCAAUGCUUCACGAGGCAGGCAGAAAAUUGGAAAACUGCAUUUUUAGAGAAGAAAAAUGUCAACAGGAAUUGGAGGAAAAGUAAGCAUUUUCUGGCUAAGUAUCAAUUAAACAAAAAAUUCAAUUUUCCAGAAGACACCUUUUCUUCAACCCCACAGUUAAUUGUGCUUUGCCAAGGUGCCCAGUGGAUGUUUGACGACUGCUAAUUAUUUAACUGGACCUCACCACACCCAGAGAUGCUGCUCAUGCCUAUAACAAAGACCAUUUGCUCUUUCCAGAAGCUUCCUGAAGAAGUGCCAAAGAACUAGAUCUGAAGUUUCGGAAACUUUAAUUUGAGGGCCAAAAGAAUACAUCCUGACACAGGAUAUUUUUUAAUUGUGAAUUCAUGUGUAGGGAAGGGCAGGAAUAUAAAGUCUAUGUCCAACACGUUGGACAGUUGUGAACCAAUGGUUUUCUAGUAUUUAAUCCCAAAAGCACAUCCCCAAAGAUGUGUUUCCUCUAAGCUCAUGGGUAAUGAUGAAUGUGUGCCUGGAAACGUGGGUGGGCUCCUGUGUACAGGCUGAGAUGGGGCAAGGUAGGAAAACCGCAGAAGAUACAGGUUUCCAUGUUUCAUCCUUAGGGCCAUUCUUGGGGGCUAGAGCGUCCCCCCCACUCUUGCUGUUACAACCACUGUCUUUUUUUAUUGGAUAAGUAGAAUGCGCGAUGCUGAAUCCCAGUACAAAUGCUGUCACGCCCCCCACAGCGAUGUGCCUUCCACCUCAGCCGCUGUCGGAUACCCGCGGCCUCAUGGCCCAGGACGCCAAUCAUAUCCGUUUGCCACUUUGUGACAUUAGUGGCUAUAACGCUCCCACAUUUACUAGUCACGGGAGAACCACUGCCUGCUCGUCGGUGCCACAAUCGGCUGCUCCUUUUUUUAAGCUUAACUCCUUCUAUCCCGAGGCAAACGCUCAAUGUACAGCCACAGCCUUUGAGAUUUUACCCAAUUUGCAAGGUGUCCUUUUGCGGCAUUUCCUCAAAUUUUUGCAAUCAGAUUGACUCGAGCCAGCUCACAUUUGUCCCUGAGAGGGGUGGAACUUGCCCUGGAUGGACGUCCCUCUUUUUUUUAGGAGAAAACCAGAAAAUCUCAAAAGAACCCAGGACGGCAAGGCGAGAAACGAAUUGAAACCCUGCCUGUCUGGUUAGUACCUAGUCACGUCGUAUACAAGUCAUUAUAAAUGAUUUAUUAAUUCGACAGACGUCGGUAGACAUUCAAUACAUAUUUGCUUAAUGAACUGUCGAAUGCAUUAGCUACUUGUUAGGCAAUAACAACACUGUGGGACAUUACAGUGGGAGAACUAGACACAGUUUUGCCCCUCAAGGAGCCCGUUUGGUGGCAGGCGGGGCAGGCAAGCAGACAGGCAUCGUGAGCGUAAUUAACUUCGGAGAGGCCUCGCUGUGUCCCAGGUACGGCAAAGCUGUCUUCAUGGAUUGUAUCAGUUCACCUCCACCGCGGCUUUAUGAAAGCAGUUCAGUUGCUGUCUCUUUUUUACGGACAAGAAAGCCCAGGCCCAGAAAAGGUUCAGGAACUCAGCCCAAAUUGCACAGCUAGCAAGUGCUAAGGUCAGAAGUCAGUCCCGGGCAGUCUGACUCCGACCUCACGCUUUAAACUGCUGUGCCGCUGGGGCAGCCGUGGGCGAGCAGAGGAGUGGGUGGUUUGGGGAGGUAGAGAACGUGGAGACUGGGUGAUUGGUUGGGAGGGCAAGGAAGAACCGACAACGAAGCCGGGCCUCGCGUGCUGAGCAGUGAGGAAGCUGGUGCCAUUUGCUGGACGAGCACCUUGGAGAGAAGAGGCAGGCUGAUGGAGAGAGUGUGGAUGAAUGACCACGGCAGUGUGGGACAUGUUGGCUUUGAGGUGCCCGUCGGACAUUCAGAUGGAUUUCCAAGCAAGCUAUUGACAAGGCUUUGUUAACACCGGUGGGAGAGGUCCCGGCUAGAGACGGGGAGUUGGCUGUGGUUAGGAUAACGCUUUGUUCUUGCCACUGGAUCCUUCGAAGCUUUAGUACGAGGCUAGCAACUGUUUACAAAUGCUUCGGUUUUAUUCUUUAUGUUUGACUUGUUUUUAACUUUUAAGUCUAUGAUCGUGGUUGUUAUAUUCGCCCCCUUUACCCUGCCCCCCAAAACAUAUAUCCAUGGAGAGAGGGG